GAGUAAUGUCUGGGAAACUGCCUGAUGGAGGGGGAUAACUACUGGAAACGGUAGCUAAUACCGCAUAACGUCGCAAGACCAAAGAGGGGGACCUUCGGGCCUCUUGCCAUCGGAUGUGCCCAGAUGGGAUUAGCUAGUAGGUGGGGUAACGGCUCACCUAGGCGACGAUCCCUAGCUGGUCUGAGAGGAUGACCAGCCACACUGGAACUGAGACACGGUCCAGACUCCUACGGGAGGCAGCAGUGGGGAAUAUUGCACAAUGGGCGCAAGCCUGAUGCAGCCAUGCCGCGUGUAUGAAGAAGGCCUUCGGGUUGUAAAGUACUUUCAGCGGGGAGGAAGGGAGUAAAGUUAAUACCUUUGCUCAUUGACGUUACCCGCAGAAGAAGCACCGGCUAACUCCGUGCCAGCAGCCGCGGUAAUACGGAGGGUGCAAGCGUUAAUCGGAAUUACUGGGCGUAAAGCGCACGCAGGCGGUUUGUUAAGUCAGAUGUGAAAUCCCCG
This 501-nucleotide ribosomal RNA is filed under the name Escherichia coli. RNAcentral's name for it is "bacterial SSU rRNA". It matches the Rfam family "Bacterial small subunit ribosomal RNA", at positions 108 to 605 of the family's 1533-position model. Lineage: Bacteria; Pseudomonadati; Pseudomonadota; Gammaproteobacteria; Enterobacterales; Enterobacteriaceae. The record is from RNAcentral.